Papaver somniferum (opium poppy) is the source of this 2001-nucleotide long non-coding RNA. RefSeq lists it as uncharacterized. Lineage: Eukaryota; Viridiplantae; Streptophyta; Magnoliopsida; Ranunculales; Papaveraceae. The record is from RefSeq and is a predicted model, not a curated record. The transcript is spliced from 8 exons.
UUCCAGAAGCUCACUACUAGUUAUCUCACAUCACAUGGGCUGGCGCUAUCAUUUCCCCUCCAAAUCCCUAACCUAAUAUCUUCGUGAGAGAGAUCCCCUCAUUUUUAGUAUCAGAAUAAGGGGCGAUUUUUAAAUCUAAUAUAUUGAUUGCAUUUACUGAUUUGGUUUUCAAAUCUGCGAACUCGUCUGAUUUACUAGUUUCUGAGACGAUGUUACAAUGGAUGAGAGGUCCAAGGAGGAAAAUGGCAAACGGUGAUGGCCUUCAAGUAAAAGUCAACAAGCUUUCAUCUGCAAAGCUUAGGUAGGGAUGGGAAUCGCAGCAUCAACCCGGAAAAUUAUAAGUCGAAAGUAAGAAGAUGAAGAAGAGGAUGAGAAUAUGGAUGUUAAUACUGCUAAGUUUAUACCUUCUAAUGAUCCUGCCAAGGCAAAAUUCAACAUACAAAUCUCUUCGAUAUGGUAUCUUAGAGUUGGAAAGACCUGUUGGAAUUGAAGGGAUCAUUGUUUAUUAGAUAGGGUGAUAGCCCUUAAGUAGAAGUCAACAAGCUUUUAUCUAAAAAGAUGCAACUUCCCUAUGACUACUAUAUUCACAGAUAUUGUAACAAUUAUGAAGUAUGAACAGUGCUGAACUCUCCGAGGUGAUCGGUAUUAGGAGUCCAUUUACACAGUGAGACCUACUUCAUUUUUGGUUUUAUAUCCAAUCCUUCGCUCGAUUGCUUGUGCUUAGAAGGCUGCUGUUCUUCACCAAUGGUUCCAUGUUUUAUUUUGGUUUCUUACUUGUAUUCCAGUUCUUACUUGCAAAGUUGCAUGCCGUAUGAAGCUUGCUGCCGAAGCUUCAAAGAGUUUUAAGGAGAAAAUCGAUGAUGAGACCGAGCAAACAUAGCAAAGAUGAAAAUAUUUCAUCAACCACCACCUCAGCUUCAAAGUCAUUUAUCACAUGGAUUCCAAGACUGAUAUGGCCCACAUCGCUGUUCUCGAGGUUACUCCAUACAGUUCUCACUGUUUCUGAAAGAUUAUCAUGAAAGGAAGAGAAGAGUGCUCAAUUAGUUACACGCAAUCCAACCACCAAAGUCAUGAGAUAAGGUUGUACAUUUCCUCAGAAGGUUGAUGCAGAUAAAGAGGUCAUAUUCACAUAUGAUCUUUCUUUUCAGGUACUUCUCUUUUCGCACCUUUGCUUCUGCUCGUAUCUGUUCCAUUAGUUUUUAUUGGUAGUUACUCGGGAUUCAAAAGCCAGCAAUCGAGGAUCCCGUCAAGACAAACAAGGUUCCAAGAGAAAUACAUGAAGCCAGUCUUUUCUGUUGUUAUUGGAGGAAUACUUCCAUAUGGUGCAGUCUCCAUUGAACUUUUCAUCAUCUUAACACCAAUAUGGCUCAACCAAUUCUGCUACAUUUUUGGUUGUGUUCGUCUUUGUUUUCCUUCUGGUCACUUGUGCGGAGAUAACGAUCGUGCUCAGUUACUUCCAGCUCUGCUGUGAAGACAAAUAUUUUUGGUGGAGGGCUUAUUUGACAUAUGGUUCAUCCACGGUUUACCUCUUCGGCUGCCAGGUCUUUCACCUUAAGCUGGAAAUAACCAAAUUGGAAGAUCUACUCUGAAGAUUAGCUGACGACGUGAAAGCAGACCCGAAAUUUUGAUUUUGAUGAGAGAGCGUGAGAGUGAGAGAGGUGGGUAAUAUUUAAGAAAAAUGAAACUAAAGUUCAGUAGAGUAGGCGUCGAGUUGAUGAUGAUCUACAACAAUGUUAAUGCAGCAUGAACCCAAAAUCAGAAUAAGAAGAUGAACCCAAAAUCAGAAUAAGAAGAUGAACCCAAAAUCAGAAUAAAGAAGAUGAAGAUUCUGUAGAAGAGGAUGAGAAUUUGGAGUUGGGAAAAAUGCAGUAAUUUGCAUUUAAACCCCUACUUUAUAAAAAUUUUGAUGAUUCUCUGUGCUUUUGAUUCUUUGAAUUUAUGAUAUGUAUCCUGAAAUGUGACAUUACUCAUUGGAAUAGAAAUGUUCAUUGCCUCAUUAUA